CUAAGAAUAUUCCGUAAUGGACGGAAGUCUGACGGAGCGACGCCGCGUGGAUGACGAAGGCCGAAAGGUUGUAAAGUUCUUUUGCUGGGGAAGAAUAACCGCAGGAGGGAAUGCCUGUGGGAUGACAAGAACCGGCGAAUAAGCCCCGGCCAACUACGUGCCAGCAGCCGCGGUAACACGUAGGGGGCGAGCGUUGUUCGGAAUUACUGGGCGUAAAGGGCAUGUAGGCGGCUUGGAAAGCCUGGCGUGAAAGUCUGCAGNUUAACUGCAGGGGUGCGCUGGGAACUGCUGAGCUUGAGUGACGGAGAGGGAGCUGGAAUUCCUGGUGUAGGGGUGAAAUCUGUAGAUAUCAGGAAGAACACCGAUGGCGAAGGCAAGCUCCUGGCCGAUGACUGACGCUGAGGUGCGAAAGUGUGGGGAUCAAACAGGAUUAGAUACCCUGGUAGUCCACGCAGUCAACGAUGUGCACUAGGUGCUGGGGCGGUAGCUUCGGUGCCGGAGCGAACGUGGUAAGUGCACCGCCUGGGGAGUAUGCUCGCAAGGGUGAAACUUAAAUGAAUUGACGGGG
This 568-nucleotide ribosomal RNA is filed under the name uncultured bacterium. RNAcentral describes it as "partial 16S ribosomal RNA". It matches the Rfam family "Bacterial small subunit ribosomal RNA", at positions 355 to 918 of the family's 1533-position model. The record is from RNAcentral.